CCGGGGACGGGGUGGUAAGUUAUGUCGUAGGAAGCGCCGAUGGAGGGGGAUAACUACUGGAAACGGUAGCUAAUACCGCAUAACGUCGCAGACCAAAGAGGGGGACCUUCGGGCCUCUUGCCAUCGGAUGUGCCCAGAUGGGAUUAGCUAGUAGGUGGGGUAACGGCUCACCUAGGCGACGAUCCCUAGCUGGUCUGAGAGGAUGACCAGCCACACUGGAACUGAGACACGGUCCAG
This 237-nucleotide ribosomal RNA is filed under the name uncultured bacterium. Its description in RNAcentral is "partial 16S ribosomal RNA". It matches the Rfam family "Bacterial small subunit ribosomal RNA", at positions 105 to 334 of the family's 1533-position model. The record is from RNAcentral.